GGGCAGUGCUGCUGCCUUGGGUUUGGGAAGGUUCUGGGUCACAGCCCGGGGCUGAAGGUUUGGGAAGGGUCUGAGCUGCAUCCUGGGGACUGAGGGAUGUUGGUACAAGUGGUACCAAGGGUUGGGAAUUGUGUUUGUGUUUGCAUCACCCACCAGCCCUGGUGCUGGGUGUGGGGCCGUGCCUGGCCUGAAUUCGGGGCUCCCUGUGGUGGCUCAUUUGUUGUGUUUUCCAGACUUAGAUUGCACGAAGAUUUUGAGUUGUCACUAAACUUUGGCACUGGAGAGGUUCUGGGCAGUUUGUUGAUUGGCCCCUGCUCUCUCCAGGAUUAGAGACUGGAUCAGGAUUAGAGACUGGAUCAAGCCUGGCUGUCACAGGAGUCAGGGUGUGCAGGUUAUUCUCUCUUCAAGUGCUUUAUAGCACUGCAGGGUGAGGCUGUGGUUUCAGGAGUAACUUGCUGGGAAGGGGUAGAAGUGAUAACACAGACAUUUAAUUCAUUUUAAUGAGACUCAAUCUCCAGGUGCUCCCGUGUCAGGCCUUUGGAGAUGUGCCUUUGUGACAGAAGCGCUGCACUAAAGAGGAUCUGUGGAGGUAACAAUAGGAUGUCAAAAUGAAGUGAAACAAGGGCAGGGCAAUUUUAUGGAGAUGACAUGACAGGAGGAAAGUAUGGGGGGAAGAAAAGAGAAUUUAAGAUGUCAGUACAGAUUUACUGAAGGCUUUCCGAUGUCAGCUAGAAGAAAUGUCAGCAGGACUGACUUGGCAGUGUCAAGGUGAUGGCAGGAUGAAGUCCGAUCAGUUGGGAAGCAUCUCCGGCAGUGGAGACGAGCUGCUGUCAGUAAAGAUGAUGUCAGGCUGAUAAUUAUUUUGUACAUUGUGGUUUAAGUAGGGCAUUGUUUCUGUUGAGGUAUUUUGAAUUCAGCACAAGGUAGGAGAAUAGUCAUUAAAAGACAAAAGCCUCCAAUUCUUUCUGUGAGAAUGACAGGAGCUUCCAACCCAGCCUCGGAGCCGCUGCAGUGAAGCUGGCACUCGGCUGCCCUGGGGACUGGGCACUGCCUGCUGUGGGUAGAGUUUAGGGAGACUGAGUUACCACUCUGCUUGGCCUCUUUUCAUUUCUCUCCUCAAACUCUGCCUGAUAAAUAAGAGGGCAGAAAACUCUCUCUUCAAACUGCCUAGGGCAGAGGAGUAACUGAUGUCACGUGGGAGUGCAGCCAUGAUUUCAGGCAGAACUGAAUUUGAAUUUCUCGGAGAGUUCCCAUAAGAAUGGAGGAAAGAAAGGUUCCCUAAAAACCUCCUCUUGUGGAACUGGGCCUGAUUCCACUUAAGUCUGAUGUGCAACUUUCCUCCUUGGAGAAAAAGGCAUCCUGACCAGAAAUAUGGUGCCAGAGCAGGCAGCUCAGAGAGAGGAACUGGUUUGCCUGGGUAGACUGAAAUGGCAUUUCAGUUCACUGGCCUGGCUACAGGAAGCCAAGAGCAGGAGUCCAGUGCUGUCUCCACCAAAGCUGGAAUGCCUCCUCUGAACACUGCUUGGCUUCCAGCCAUGCAGAGUACCCAGAUCUCGGGGAGGCUGCUGCUGUUCAGAAUGGGAGAUGGAAGUGGAGAAAGCAGUUGGAAGUGCACCUGCUGAAAUGUUCUUCCUGCACCCACACUGAUUAAAGUAUAGCCUACUUCUUUUUCCUGCUUCCCUCAUAAAAGAUGCGUUGGGUGGAGCUCAUCUGUCUAGAGGAAAGGAAGGCAGGGUAGUGGAGACUGGAUUCUCUUUCUGUCUGUCUUUUGAUCCUCCUGUGUAAGUUGAAGGUUUUAGAAAUUAUUAAAAGCUUCAUGCAGGGUGAAUACUUUCAGAGGAGACUGAAUCUGCAGACCUAAGUUCCAGCUCUAUGGUUCUCUCACAAGCCCAAGGCUGGGGUAUUAAAUCCUAUCACACUGAUCAACAUGGUCAAAAGAGCAAGACGAGUGUGGAAGUGGGUUGACUUCUGCACAUUUUCAAAGCCUUGUUUCAAACUUACCCUUAACAGCUUUUUAGAAGACCCUCUCAACUGGAGAAUGUAAGGCUGAUUGAAACAGCUCUCUAUGAUGCUGAGGUUUUAAGGACACAAUAAGCUGCUCUGCUCUGUAAGUGGCCAGAAAAUAGCUAAUACCUGGCAUGGUGAUGUGGUGCCUUUAAUCCUCCUGAUUAAAAAAUGUUAUCCUUUCCCUUUAGUCUUUUUGAUAGGCAGCAGUCACCUGUCACUCCUUUUUAGCAUAUUCCACACAUUAAAUGCAUGCUUCUUCUUUGAUAGUAAUAGCAAGAACAACUCUGCACUUAAAUUGAGUCUGGGGUUUCCAAAGUGAAGGAUAAACUCACAGCUAAUUCUGCCACUGUGUGGAAUUUUACAUGCCUGGAAUUUUACAUGCCUGGAAACCUACAGACUGAUACUAGUAAAGCCCGUGGUCAUAAAUUGAGCUUUUUGGUUAAGAACUCCACUCUAAACUGAUCAGUCAGGAUUUUUUUUUCCUAGUAGAAUAAAUUGAUGCUGAGCUGGGAAUGAAACUCAUUUCAUGAGGAGUGUAGUUUUUUCUAGUCUCUCAGUGUUACUGUCCUUCCACCCACAAGGUAUCACUGGUUCUGUCUCAGUAGCAAAUAUUAACCCCCAGCAACAUUACAGAGUCGUAGGAGGAAGCUCUUCCAUCAGUCAUUUUCCUUGCUUGAGUACAGGCUGCAGCCAGUUUAAAAUAACCAGCCAUUUCUUGUUAUCUGCUUUAAAUUGCUGAAUCCAGCAGCCCUGAAGAACGAGGCCACGUCUGGAGAACCUGCCUGUGCUGCCAAUGUUCUCUGAGCAGCAGGAAGGAAAGAGUCUCUUCCUUGUGAAGCAGCAUCAAAAGAGCUGUCGUGUGUCUAAUGCCCUGUCUUCCAGCCUGCAGUCUCUGCAAGUGAGAUUCCCUUUAUCAUAAUACAGUAAAUCAUCUCAGAAACACGCACUUGGGGAUGAAGAGGAUUAUGUUUUUGUUAGUGUCUGAUUGCCUUUUUCAGCAAUCCUUUCUCAGGCAUUAAAGCCGUGGCUCUUUGCAAGCGCUGUUGUUUUGGGGCUGUCAUGUGGUGGAUGGGAAGAAGUCGUGUUGCUUUGUACCUCAGACCUGUUCAAAGGCAGCCUGACCAUCUUCUGUUGUGACAGUGUAAAAGCUGGCACCCUCCACCUCCACAAACAGACCGAGAACUGAGCGCUGUGGGUGUUCUCACUUAGGAGGGUGUCAAGACAUUAAGUUCAAGUCUGUUGUAUGUGCUGUGAGGUUCCUGGGCAGAGCUUUGAAGUUCUGUACUACCCUUUCCUCACUGUUCAGCAGGGACAGGAGGGGAGCAGACAGCUCCUGUAGGCUGGAAAAAGUUAUCAGUUUCUGUAGGCUGAAAGAAGAACUGGAGACAUUCAGCAAACUGUGAAACAGGGCUCACCAACCUUUCUGUCUCACUGACCUCAUGCCCAAAGCUCUGUGUGGCUGGAGUGACCACACACAUCCCAUGUGGUGUGGAGAGCCUCAGGAGGAGUGUGUGAGGAGGAGAUGGCCUUUGUUCC
Long non-coding RNA from Passer domesticus (house sparrow), 3543 nucleotides. RefSeq lists it as uncharacterized. The transcript has 4 exons. The record is from RefSeq and is a predicted model, not a curated record. NCBI's taxonomy places the organism in Eukaryota, Metazoa, Chordata, Aves, Passeriformes, Passeridae.